GUCCCCAUCGUCUAGAGGCCUAGGACACGACCCUUUCACGGUCGGUACAGCAGUUCGAAUCUGCUUGGGGACGCCA
This 76-nucleotide transfer RNA is filed under the name Sutterella sp. CAG:351. Its description in RNAcentral is "transfer RNA-Glu(TTC)". It matches the Rfam family "tRNA". From Rfam's summary of the family: Transfer RNA (tRNA) molecules are approximately 80 nucleotides in length. Their secondary structure includes four short double-helical elements and three loops (D, anti-codon, and T loops). The record is from RNAcentral. RNAcentral also lists the same sequence under 7 other names. Lineage: Bacteria; Pseudomonadati; Pseudomonadota; Betaproteobacteria; Burkholderiales; Sutterellaceae.